Molecule: ribosomal RNA, 253 nt
Filed under: uncultured bacterium
Lineage: Bacteria
Description: partial 16S ribosomal RNA
Rfam family: Bacterial small subunit ribosomal RNA
Source: RNAcentral
UACGAAGGGGGCUAGCGUUGUUCGGAAUCACUGGGCGUAAAGGGCGCGUAGGCGGCUUUGUAAGUCGGGGGUGAAAGCCUGUGGCUCAACCACAGAAUUGCCUUCGAUACUGCAUGGCUUGAGACCGGAAGAGGUAAGUGGAACUGCGAGUGUAGAGGUGAAAUUCGCAGAUAUUCGCAAGAACACCAGUGGCGAAGGCGGCUUACUGGUCCGGUUCUGACGCUGAGGCGCGAAAGCGUGGGGAGCAAACAGG